Molecule: ribosomal RNA, 496 nt
Filed under: uncultured bacterium
Lineage: Bacteria
Description: partial 16S ribosomal RNA
Rfam family: Bacterial small subunit ribosomal RNA
Source: RNAcentral
AUGAACGCUGGCGGCGUGCCUAAUACAUGCAAGUCGAGCGAACGGACGAGAAGCUUGCUUCUCUGAUGUUAGCGGCGGACGGGUGAGUAACACGUGGAUAACCUACCUAUAAGACUGGGAUAACUUCGGGAAACCGGAGCUAAUACCGGAUAAUAUUUUGAACCGCAUGGUUCAAAAGUGAAAGACGGUCUUGCUGUCACUUAUAGAUGGAUCCGCGCUGCAUUAGCUAGUUGGUAAGGUAACGGCUUACCAAGGCAACGAUGCAUAGCCGACCUGAGAGGAUGAUCGGCCACACUGGAACUGAGACACGGUCCAGACUCCUACGGGAGGCAGCAGUAGGGAAUCUUCCGCAAUGGGCGAAAGCCUGACGGAGCAACGCCGCGUGAGUGAUGAAGGUCUUCGGAUCGUAAAGCUCUGUUAUUAGGGAAGAACAUAUGUGUAAGUAACUGUGCACAUCUUGACGGUACCUAAUCAGAAAGCCACGGCUAACUACGUG